RNAcentral lists this transfer RNA (70 nucleotides) under Dipodomys ordii (Ord's kangaroo rat). It matches the Rfam family "tRNA". Rfam says of the family: Transfer RNA (tRNA) molecules are approximately 80 nucleotides in length. Their secondary structure includes four short double-helical elements and three loops (D, anti-codon, and T loops). The record is from Rfam by way of RNAcentral. Lineage: Eukaryota; Metazoa; Chordata; Mammalia; Rodentia; Heteromyidae.
GGGGAAGUGGCUCAGUGGUAGAGCGCUUGCCUUGAAUGCACGAGGGCCUGGGUUCGAUUCCUCAGCACCA